This 253-nucleotide ribosomal RNA is filed under the name uncultured bacterium. RNAcentral describes it as "partial 16S ribosomal RNA". It matches the Rfam family "Bacterial small subunit ribosomal RNA", at positions 524 to 776 of the family's 1533-position model. The record is from RNAcentral.
UACGUAGGUGGCAAGCGUUGUCCGGAAUUACUGGGUGUAAAGCGCGUGUAGGCGGGCGGCCAAGUCUGCUUUGAAAUCGCCCGGCUCAACUGGGCGGGGUCGGUGGAAACUGGUCACCUGGAGGGCGGUAGAGGCGAGUGGAAUUCCCGGUGUAGUGGUGAAAUGCGUAGAGAUCGGGAGGAACACCAGUGGCGAAGGCGGCUCGCUGGGCCGGACCUGACGCUGAGACGCGAAGGCGUGGGGAGCGAACGGG